This 448-nucleotide long non-coding RNA is filed under the name Rhinopithecus bieti (black snub-nosed monkey). Its description in RNAcentral is "lncRNA (ENSRBIG00000046015.1)". Lineage: Eukaryota; Metazoa; Chordata; Mammalia; Primates; Cercopithecidae. The record is from RNAcentral.
CAGAUUUUGUGGUUUCUCUUAGACUCUAUUUUACUCAUAUAUCUUAAUUUUCUCAUUUUCUGUUUUAGAUGUGUUAAAUUGGAUGGCAGAAAUAAGUCACUGGAACAAAAUGCUUGAGAAAGAACCUGCUCUACUCCCUACUUUCUUAAAAAUACACUCACAUGUUCUCCCAUAUACCAAAACAAUUAUUCUAGAUUGGAGAUAUUUAACGAUUCACACUUACGUAAAGGCUCCAAAUCAUUCUUUGGGUGAAGUUAAAGAAGUUGGCAAUCAUUUACAUGAAGCAGAGAUUGGCCAUGUUUGGCUACCCAUUUUUUAUCCAAUCCAACCACAAAGUCAUGGAGUUAAGCCAAUGGUUCAACUGUGGCUUAGAAUGAAAAUAACCCAGGAAACAAACAAAAACCUCAUGCCAGCUCCUCUCCCCAAUAAAGACCAAGAUAGAUUCUGA